RNAcentral lists this long non-coding RNA (2513 nucleotides) under Triticum aestivum (bread wheat). RNAcentral's name for it is "long non-coding RNA (TAES_LNC003397)". The record is from RNAcentral. Lineage: Eukaryota; Viridiplantae; Streptophyta; Magnoliopsida; Poales; Poaceae.
AGUGUCUGAUGAUCGGCAUGCCUAGCAUGCACCUCUGUGUCCGUCGUCUCCAAUGGUCCUGCCCCUUUGUUGGCUCGUGCGCCGCUGCAGCUGGUGUCGUUAUGCUCCUCCAAGGUGGCGCCCUUCUUGGAAGAGACGUAAGUGGCUGCUGCCGCUCGCCUGCACAGCAACCCGACUUUGAGCCUGAGGCGUUCCUGCGUUGCUUGCGACGGAGCUUGGAGACGAUGCCAGAAUUUUGUCGUCGUUGUCCUCAUGCACCGCCAGCUCAGGGGCAAGUACGCCUUCAAAUUCGAAUCUAGCGUCACCGUAAAAGAGGAAUGUGCUAGAAAUUCCCACAUUAAUCUGAAACAUCUGACCGUUUAUUAGAUAGGAAUAUGCAAUGUUGAACUGGAAUUUAAAUGUUUUGGUUGCAAGUGAACUCAGUACCACUCUUGUUGUUAGAUAUUUGUGAUGUGAGCAAAAUCAUUGUACUACAUAUAUAAAUUGAAUCAAUAUAUACAGUUUAUUUUACAAGAGCACACAAUACAGUAAUUUAGGAUAUAGAUUAGAGGUUUCUAUAGAAUCUAAGCAUUUAAAAGGAACAUAUUUUCACUCAUGCUGCCAUAACAACUUGACAAUGAGAAUCUUAUAAGAACUACAUUUUCAGUGAUACAAUCUAGAAAUUAUCAAUUCCUAAGACCCUAGCUAGAACCCAAUAACGAUUUACAACAAGGAUGGUCUAGCAAGAGCAAGAUCAACACCAUCUCUGAAUUUCCUCAAGCAUGUGAUGCACAGCAACCAACAAUGGUGGAGCAAAGUGAGUUGUACCUGAAUAGUGCCCGACCGAAGCGACUCAGUCUGAGAUUUCGUAGCCACAACCAUGGCAAGCGUGCACGGCCUCACCAUGAGCGAGAGAGGGCACCAAAGCUAUUCUGGCUCAAAUAGGAUGAAGAUGUUAGUGGUAGGAGAAGCAUAUGCCCCCUGGCCGUUGCUUAGGCAGCUCCGUACAUGCAAAUACAAUACAAGAAAUUGUUGGAAUUGUCAGCUAAAUAGCAAAUUCAGUUAGAAUUUCAUGUCAACAUAAAACCCCAAUUUAAUGAGAUCAAGAUAUCUUUUUUUUACAAAAAUAAUAAACACAAGUGCUAGAACAAUAGUUGUACCUAAAUACAGUUUACGGAUGCACAUGAAUAGAUCCACACGAAUAGAGCCAAAUGAAUGGUCGACUCAGUAACCUCACCAUGAUCCCGAGAUAAUUGCUAUCCCAUCUGGAGGCGACUCCAUCAUUGCUAUGGAGUAGAGCUACAGAACCACAGAACAACAUCUCUCCUCAUGGAACCAGGGUGAGAAGAACACGUAGAGGAGCAUGAUAUGAGGUCACAUAGGCAUGAUGUCAGGCACACUGGCAGCCGACAAUGCCAUGGAGAAGAAACAUAGCAGAAGCAGCUGAGCGAGGAUGUAGUGGGUCAGUGGGAAGGUCAAACGCAGCAGCUUGGACCAAUUGAAUUGAUGGCCAUUAGAUAGGUCAAUGAAAGAGAAUUGGGUGGCGCUUGGCUAGGGUCUUUCUUUGCAAUGUUCUUCUUCUUCGGGAUUGCACUCCAUCGCCACACUUCCUCGUGGUCUUCCCCAUCCCGCCAGACACCCCCUGCCUCUUCUCACGCUGUCCCGCGGUCUGGUGUCGCUCGAUGGCCUCACUGCUCAGUAGCUACUUCACUGUAAGAAUGGGAACCAAUCUUGUUUAGAGAGAACAUUCUGUGAGUGAAAAUUACAAAAUGCAUGAAUCAUCAUGAAAACGAAUAGCAGUACAUCAUAACCAAGUGAAGAAAUAAAUAAGAAGUGAAAGGAACUUGCAGAAAUCAAUUGCUUAUGUAAGGAUAAUCUGCAAAAAUAUGUUUGUCAAGACAAAUCUAAAAAUCAAACUGCUUGUGUGACUUUAAUACGAAUUAAAUUGUUGAACCAAAUAUGUUUGUCAAGACAAAUCUGAAAACCAAACUAUUUGUGUGACCUUAAUACGAAUUAAAUUGCUGAACCUCACUAUAGUGGAAAAGAUAUUAAUAACCAACAGGGUAAGACUUUCAAUCCUACUGUUUGCUAGCAUGCAUAACAAUGUGACUCCCAGCAUACACCAACAAUGCGAAAAAAUUAGAGCUGUAAGGCAUGAAUUCCUAAUACAUAGAACAUGAUGAUGAAAAACUAAUUCAAGCUGAACAGAAUCAAAUCCUACAGCUCAUCCAUCUUAUGAGGAAAGGAUUCCUGCUUCCAAAAUCUAAUUGUCUCUGCAAAUUCAGAUGACCAUUAUAAGAAUAAUUAAUAUAUCUCACCAUGAACGUCCAGAUGUUAUUGGAGCUGCUGUGUCUAGGCAUAAAAAAGGGCAACACCUAACUGCAACUCCUUUAUACGAUUAAAGAAAGUUCAAUAUAAAUUUGUCAAACAAUAGGAGCCAGCGUACCCAUGUGUCUUGAGACUCCACAUGAUGUAAAUUAAUUAGCAACCCAUUAUUCUAGUAUCCCAAUUAACUCCCACCAUCCUACCAUUUU